UGGGGAAUAUUGCACAAUGGGGGAAACCCUGAUGCAGCGACGCCGCGUGGAGGAAGAAGGUCUUCGGAUUGUAAACUCCUGUUGUUGAGGAAGAUAAUGACGGUACUCAACAAGGAAGUGACGGCUAACUACGUGCCAGCAGCCGCGGUAAAACGUAGGUCACAAGCGUUGUCCGGAAUUACUGGGUGUAAAGGGAGCGCAGGCGGGAAGACAAGUUGGAAGUGAAAUCCAUGGGCUCAACCCAUGAACUGCUUUCAAAACUGUUUUUCUUGAGUAGUGCAGAGGUAGGCGGAAUUCCCGGUGUAGCGGUGGAAUGCGUAGAUAUCGGGAGGAACACCAGUGGCGAAGGCGGCCUACUGGGCACCAACUGACGCUGAGGCUCGAAAGUGUGGGUAGCAAACAGGAUUAGAUACCCUGGUAGUCCACACCGUAAACGAUGAUUACUAGGUGUUGGAGGAUUGACCCCUUCAGUGCCGCAGUUAACACAAUAAGUAAUCCACCUGGGGAGUACGACCGCAAGGUUGAAACUCAAAGGAAUUGACGGGGGCCCGCACAAGCAGUGGAGUAUGUGGUUUAAUUCGACGCAACGCGAAGAACCUUACCAAGUCUUGACAUCCCUUGACAGACAUAGAAAUAUGUAAUCUCUUCGGAGCAAGGAGACAGGUGGUGCAUGGUUGUCGUCAGCUCGUGUCGUGAGAUGUUGGGUUAAGUCCCGCAACGAGCGCAACCCUUAUUGCCAGUUACUACGUUAAGAGGACUCUGGCGAGACUGCCGUUGACAAAACGGAGGAAGGUGGGGAUGACGUCAAAUCAUCAUGCCCUUUAUGACCUGGGCUACACACGUACUACAAUGGCGUUAAACAAAGAGAAGCAAGACCGCGAGGUGGAGCAAAACUCAAAAACAACGUCUCAGUUCAGAUUGCAGGCUGCAACUCGCCUGCAUGAAGUCGGAAUUGCUAGUAAUCGCGGAUCAGCAUGCCGCGGUGAAUACGUUCCC
This 996-nucleotide ribosomal RNA is filed under the name uncultured bacterium. Its description in RNAcentral is "bacterial SSU rRNA". It matches the Rfam family "Bacterial small subunit ribosomal RNA", at positions 355 to 1375 of the family's 1533-position model. The record is from RNAcentral.